CUGGAGGCAGGAGCAGGCAGUGAGCUGAAUCAAGAGAAGCAGCUUUGAAAGGGUGGAUACAGUCUAGUAUUAGUCUGGUCUCAUUCAUCAAAAAGCAGGCUGAGAGUGUAACGCUCCCUCAGAGCUUAAUCCAAGUCAUUCUCUAGCAUAGAGCCUGAGUCUGUCUCCAGAACUGAAAAAUCCAUAAUUCUGGAUCCUCCACCAAUGCACUGGACAACUCCUAAAGCUAUACUAGAGUCAACUUUAUCCAUUUUUCAAGAUGGCUACUGAGUAGAAGCAGAGCUCUUCUUCUCUCCACCAAUCAAGACAGAGUGCCUCAAAUAGACAAAACCAAACUCAAACAAGCAAAGAAGUUCCACAGUAGGACACAGCACAGAAGGUAGGCAACGUUAGGAAAUUUCCACGCUAAAAGGGGGCAAAAAUUUCCUCCCACCAGGAGGUGAGCACACCACCCCUCCCCCACUUCACCUACCUU
This 475-nucleotide long non-coding RNA is filed under the name Monodelphis domestica (gray short-tailed opossum). Its description in RNAcentral is "lncRNA (ENSMODG00000051291.1)". Lineage: Eukaryota; Metazoa; Chordata; Mammalia; Didelphimorphia; Didelphidae. The record is from RNAcentral.